AAUCUUCACCAAACUAACAAGCAAUCAAAAGCUUAGUCACUUCCUUCCCUCUUUAAUCAAUGUUAACCAAAACUUUUGCCAAACACACGUAAUAAACUAGAAUGCAAUUAAGCCAAUGGACAUAAGGAUUGAUCAAGAGGGUCUUUAAAUUGAAGACCAUGAGGUGAAAAAAGGGGGAACCGAUUGAGAGAGGAAAUAGAGAAGGAAAAAACAAAGAAAGGAGCCAAAAUAAUAGAAAAGAACAAGUUUCUCUUAAUCUCUCUCGCCACCCUCUCCAACCACCACACUCAGCAUUCAAUCCAUCAUCAUCAUCAAAACAAAAACAAAUGCCAUAUGAAAUAUUUGUUUGAGAGAGAAAGGAAAUCAUAAAAAAAUAAGAUAGGAGAAGAAGUAGGAGCUAGCUACAGCAUCACUGCAACCACACACUGAUCCAACAUCGCAACUUCCACCAUUAGCAAAUCAUUCUCUCUUGCUAUCCACUCUGGCGACCUCGCUCUCCACGCCAUCGUCGUUUUAACUUUAAACUUACCGCUGACAAACACUUCCACCAUCCCAUCACCUUUGAUACGCCAGCCACCACAAGCACCUCCGUCAUCGUACAGCGGUAGUAGCGGAGCCAAGAAUUUUAACUAGUGGAGGCACCAUAUAUAUAAUUUGUAACAUUAAAUAUAUAUUAUAUUUCUUAUUUUCAAUCACAAUAAAAACAUAUUUCUGUAUAUAAGUGACUAAACAAUCAUUUCGUCAUUGAUCACUCAUGCUUUUCUCUUAAAGUUGUCGAUCAAUCACUUGAUAGAACAAUUGAACUUGAAAGGUAUCAUCCAUAUUUGAAACGACAACUUCAUGUUGUUCGCAAAAUAAUGAAACUUCAUGGAGCAAAGAAUCUCAACCACUAUACCUUAUACUCUCUCCAUCCCUUAAUAAGUG
RNAcentral lists this long non-coding RNA (924 nucleotides) under Medicago truncatula (barrel medic). RNAcentral's name for it is "long non-coding RNA (MTRU_LNC005236)". Lineage: Eukaryota; Viridiplantae; Streptophyta; Magnoliopsida; Fabales; Fabaceae. The record is from RNAcentral.